Pelobates cultripes (western spadefoot toad) is the source of this 311-nucleotide non-coding RNA. The record is from the annotation of a GenBank genome assembly. Lineage: Eukaryota; Metazoa; Chordata; Amphibia; Anura; Pelobatidae.
CGGGUGAGGGCUGCCUGGGCUGUGAGGCAGUCCUCCCGAAGUGGAGCGCUGGGAAGGUAAUUAUCCCAGCAGCUACAGGGCUCAAAGCCGUUACGGCGUUCUAUGCAAAUCGCACAUCCCCGUGGUGGCGACUUUGCAUGCGGAUGUCAUCCAUAUCAACUUUCGAUGCCAGUUUCUGCGCCUACCAUGGUGACCACGGGUAAUGGGGAAUCGGGGUUCCAUUCCGUAUAGGGACCCUGAGAAACGGCUACCACAUGCAAGGAAGGCAGCAGGCGCACAAAUGACGCACUCCCGACGCGGGAAGGUCGUGA